This 87-nucleotide transfer RNA is filed under the name Gammaproteobacteria bacterium. Its description in RNAcentral is "tRNA-Leu". It matches the Rfam family "tRNA". Rfam says of the family: Transfer RNA (tRNA) molecules are approximately 80 nucleotides in length. Their secondary structure includes four short double-helical elements and three loops (D, anti-codon, and T loops). RNAcentral also lists the same sequence under 4 other names. Lineage: Bacteria; Pseudomonadati; Pseudomonadota; Gammaproteobacteria. The record is from RNAcentral.
GCCGGGGUGGUGGAAUUGGUAGACACAGCAGACUCAAAAUCUGCCGACCGCAAGGUCAUGCGAGUUCGAUUCUCGCCCUCGGCACCA